Molecule: ribosomal RNA, 884 nt
Filed under: uncultured eukaryote
Lineage: Eukaryota
Description: SSU rRNA
Rfam family: Eukaryotic small subunit ribosomal RNA
Source: RNAcentral
CAGCAGCCGCGGUAAUUCCAGCUCCAAUAGCGUAUAUUAAAGUUGUUGCAGUUAAAAAGCUCGUAGUUGGAUCUCGGGUCCGGGCUCGCGGUCCACCUCGCGGUGGUUACUGCCCGUCCCGACCUACCUACCGGUUUUCCCUCGGUGCUCUUAACUGAGUGUCUCGGGUGGCCGGAACGUUUACUUUGAAAAAAUUAGAGUGUUCAAAGCAGGCGCUUCGCCUGAAUAAUGUUGCAUGGAAUAAUGGAAUAGGACCUCGGUUCUAUUUUGUUGGUUUUCGGAACUCGAGGUAAUGAUUAAGAGGGACAGACGGGGGCAUUCGUAUGAUGGUGUUAGAGGUGAAAUUCUUGGAUCGCCGUCAGACGAACUACUGCGAAAGCAUUUGCCAAGAAUGUUUUCAUUAAUCAAGAACGAAAGUCAGAGGUUCGAAGACGAUCAGAUACCGUCCUAGUUCUGACCAUAAACGAUGCCGACUAGCGAUCCGCCGGAGUUGUUUCAAUGACCCGGCGGGCAGCUUCCGGGAAACCAAAGUCUUUGGGUUCCGGGGGAAGUAUGGUUGCAAAGCUGAAACUUAAAGGAAUUGACGGAAGGGCACCACCAGGAGUGGAGCCUGCGGCUUAAUUUGACUCAACACGGGAAAGCUUACCCGGCCCGGACACCGUAAGGAUUGACAGAUUGAGAGCUCUUUCUUGAUUCGGUGGGUGGUGGUGCAUGGCCGUUCUUAGUUGGUGGAGCGAUUUGUCUGGUUAAUUCCGAUAACGAACGAGACUCUAGCCUAUUAAAUAGUUCGCCGAUUUCGAUCUGUCGGCGUUAACUUCUUAGAGGGACAAGUGGCUUUUAGCCACGCGAGAUUGAGCAAUAACAGGUCUGUGAUGCCCAAGGCG